UAGCUAGUUGGUGAGGUAAAGGCUUACCAAGGCGACGAUCUGUAGCGGGUCUGAGAGGAUGAUCCGCCACACUGGAACUGAGACACGGUCCAGACUCCUACGGGAGGCAGCAGUGGGGAAUUUUGGACAAUGGGGGCAACCCUGAUCCAGCCAUGCCGCGUGAGUGAAGAAGGCCUUCGGGUUGUAAAGCUCUUUCGGCCGGGAAGAAAUCGCAUGGGCCAAUACCCUGUGUGGAUGACGGUACCGGAAUAAGAAGCACUGGCUAACUACGUGCCAGCAGUCGCGGUAAUACGUAGGGUGCGAGCGUUAAUCGGAAUUACUGGGCGUAAAGCGUGCGCAGGCGGUUUUGUAAGACAGGCGUGAGAUCCCCGGGCUUAACCUGGGAACUGCGUUUGUGACUGCAAGGCUAGAGUACGGCAGAGGGGGGUGGGAUUCCACGUGUAGCAGUGAAAUGCGUAGAGAUGUGGAGGAACACCAAUGGCGAAGGCAGCCCCCUGGGUCGAUACUGACGCUCAUGCACGUAAGCGUGGGUAGCAAACAGGAUUAGAUACCUUGGUAGUCCACGCCCUAAACUAUGUCAACUAGGUGUUGGGUGGGUAAAACCAUUUAGUACCGUAGCUAACGCGUGAAGUUGACCGCCUGGGGAGUACGGCCGCAAGGUUAAAACUCAAAGGAAUUGACGGGGACCCGCACAAGCGGUGGAUGAUGUGGAUUAAUUCGAUGCAACGCGAAAAACCUUACCUACCCUUGACAUGCCAGGAACUUGCCAGAGAUGGCUUGGUGCCCGAAAGGGAGCCUGGACACAGGUGCUGCAUGGCUGUCGUCAGCUCGUGUCGUGAGAUGUUGGGUUAAGUCCCGCAACGAGCGCAACCCUUGUCGUUAAUUGCCAUCAUUUAGUUGGGCACUUUAACGAGACUGCCGGUGACAAACCGGAGGAAGGUGGGGAUGACGUCAAGUCCUCAUGGCCCUUAUGGGUAGGGCUUCACACGUCAUACAAUGGUCGGUACAAAGGGUUGCCAAGCCGCGAGGCGGAGCCAAUCCCAGAAAGCCGAUCGUAGUCCGGAUUGCAGGCUGCAACUCGCCUGCAUGAAGUCGGAAUCGCUAGUAAUCGUGGAUCAGCAUGUCACGGUGAAUACGUUCCCGGGUCUUGUACACACCGCCCGUCACACCAUGGGAGCGGGUUCCGCCAGAAGUAGGUAGCCUAACCGCAAGGGGGGCGCUUACCACGGCGGGGUUCGUGACUGGGGUGAAGUCGUAACAAGGUAGCCGUAGGGGAACCUGCGGCUG
This 1287-nucleotide ribosomal RNA is filed under the name metagenome. Its description in RNAcentral is "bacterial SSU rRNA". It matches the Rfam family "Bacterial small subunit ribosomal RNA", at positions 242 to 1520 of the family's 1533-position model. The record is from RNAcentral.